RNAcentral lists this ribosomal RNA (253 nucleotides) under uncultured bacterium. Its description in RNAcentral is "partial 16S ribosomal RNA". It matches the Rfam family "Bacterial small subunit ribosomal RNA", at positions 524 to 776 of the family's 1533-position model. The record is from RNAcentral.
CACGUAGGGGGCAAGCGUUGUCCGGAUUUAUUGGGCGUAAAGAGCGUGUAGGCGGCCAGGUAGGUCUGCUGUGAAAACUCGAGGCUUAACCUCGAGAUGUCGGCGGAAACCAUCUGGCUAGAGUCCGGAAGAGGAGAGUGGAAUUCCUGGUGUAGCGGUGAAAUGCGCAGAUAUCAGGAAGAACACCCGUGGCGAAGGCGGCUCUCUGGGACGGUACUGACGCUGAGACGCGAAAGCGUGGGGAGCGAACAGG